AUGACCGCCGCCGCAUGGCCGGUCUGCACCAUCUGCUACGAGGACCUCCGCCCGCUCUCCGACCAGCACAUCUACUGCCUCCCCUCCUGCGGCCACGUCUUCCACGCCCUCUGGUCCGCCCCGCCCUUCCCUCCCAAUCCGUUAUCUUCUCCCGUUCUGUCCUCGCGAUGGCCGGCUAACAAGAGGCUUCCCGCGUGUUGUUGCAGCGUAGAGCAAUGGCUGGAGUACUGCCCGAGCGCGGGCGGCAAGAAGAAGGGCAAGUGCCCCAUCUGCAAGCAAGCCUGCGGCUCCUCUCACCCCCCGACCCGCCUCUUCUUCCAGUCCACCGGCGCGUGCCCCACGCAGGCGCCCCCCUCCUCGUCGCAGGACGCCGACCCGGAGGCGCUCGCCGAAGAGGUCGCCCGGCUGGAGCAGAAGGCGUCGUCCCUUGGCAAGGUGCUCGAGGAGCAGCGGGAUGGGAUCCAGAAGCUCAACGCCGAGGCUAGUGCUGCUACCGCAUCGGCCGGAUCUCUUAUUGGGCUGGUUCUUUUGUGUGGAUCGCUAAUGGUUUCUUGGUGGUUCUUGGUUCAGAUCGUCAGGUGGAAGGAGCAGGCGGCGACGGCAGAGACGAUGCGGGAGUCGGCUAGGAAGGAGAAAGAGUCUGUGCAGCGGCUGCUCAAUGCGAAAACAGAGGAGUUGUCGAGGAAGACGUCGGAGUGCGUGAGGUUGCAGGAGAGGAGCCUUGCGCUGGCGAAGGAGCUUGCGGCCCUAAAGCUGUCGACUGACAUGAACCUUCAGGAAGAAGAGAUCCUAAAGUUGGCUUCAUUGGGCAACCAUGGCAACCUUGAGAAUGCUGUUGACGUUCUGAAGAGAUCACUUGCUCUCCGCAACAAGAGCUACAAAGACUUGAUGGUCCAAUGCAAUCAUCUGGGAAGAUCAGAAAGUCGCGCUCAGCAGAGGAUUGAGAAGGACAAAGAGCUGAUAAAGAAGUUGAGGGCAAAGGUACUUGAUCUUCAGAAGGAACUGGAAGAAAAGGAAAAUAAUGUCAUCAGAGACUUGAGGUCUUCAAAGAAAUUUAAAGCUGACCAGAACCAGACAAAUCCAGUGAAUGCCAAUGCUAAUAAUGGUUUCUCUAGUCCAAGUGCUGGAUAUGGGAAUCAAACAGUGAAGCUUGAUGAUGUGAUGCAGGAUGGAUGCAACGAGAAGGCUCAGUUGAACCAGGUGUCCCCUGAAGCCAAAAGGGAUCCGAACUUAGAAGACAACCUGGACAUCAAGACUGCAGAUGUGAUAGACUUAGAUGCCGAUGACAACAACACGAUAAAAUGUCCUGCCAAGCCGUUUGGGUAUAAGGAUUACACUUUGGAUACACAAAAUCAGUCCAGUCACUGUGAACAUGAUAAGAAAGAGCCCACGGCAUUCGGAUGUGAGCCUUCCUUCUAUGUACCAGAAGAAACAUCAUUUCUGAAACACACGGCGGUCACUGGAAACUCUACAUUUCAGGAGAUUCUUAUGAAGACCAAACUGCAAAACGUUCAAGAGCUUCCUGUUCUGAGAAGUAUGAAUGUUACAACUUCAACAUGGAAGAAAGAAUCGCUGACAAUUGGCGGCAUCUCUAAACAAGCAACUAGGCUGGCUUCUGGUACUGGACCUCAGACAUUUCACAAUUUAAAUUCUCUUUCCGAUGAUGAUUUUCAGACACUACCUGGAUGUACCGGUGAAGGGGCAAGAAAAAGCAUCGGCAAAUGGUCCAAGGGCAUGGCAGCACCUGGGUAUCUAGGUGCAAACACAAACAAAGGCAAUCUGAUAUCUGUGGGGCACGACGGGCGCGGGGGAAAGGUGAAAGUCCUGAGAGAUCAUGGCCGGUUCCCGGAUAGCAGGACUCCAGCACUGUGGCCUAAGGCACAGCAGAAGGCUGGAGGCAAAGGUGGGCAGUCUCAGAUAGAGCACUUCUUUGUGAAGAGAUGA
Molecule: ribosomal RNA, 1944 nt
Filed under: Triticum aestivum (bread wheat)
Lineage: Eukaryota; Viridiplantae; Streptophyta; Magnoliopsida; Poales; Poaceae
Description: partial small subunit ribosomal RNA
Source: RNAcentral